This 253-nucleotide ribosomal RNA is filed under the name uncultured bacterium. RNAcentral describes it as "partial 16S ribosomal RNA". It matches the Rfam family "Bacterial small subunit ribosomal RNA", at positions 524 to 776 of the family's 1533-position model. The record is from RNAcentral.
UACGUAGGGCGCAAGCGUUAUCCGGAAUUAUUGGGCGUAAAGAGCUCGUAGGCGGUUUGUCGCGUCUGCCGUGAAAGUCCGGGGCUCAACUCCGGAUCUGCGGUGGGUACGGGCAGACUAGAGUGAUGUAGGGGAGACUGGAAUUCCUGGUGUAGCGGUGAAAUGCGCAGAUAUCAGGAGGAACACCGAUGGCGAAGGCAGGUCUCUGGGCCGUAACUGACGCUGAGGAGCGAAAGCGUGGGGAGCGAACCGG